CCUACGGGUGGCAGCAGUCGAGAAUCAUUCACAAUGGGGGAAACCCUGAUGGUGCGACGCCGCGUGGGGGAAUGAAGGUCUUCGGAUUGUAAACCCCUGUCAUGUGGGAGCAAAUUAAAAAGAUAGUACCACAAGAGGAAGAGACGGCUAACUCUGUGCCAGCAGCCGCGGUAAUACAGAGGUCUCAAGCGUUGUUCGGAAUCACUGGGCGUAAAGCGUGCGUAGGCUGUUUCGUAAGUCGUGUGUGAAAGGUGCGGGCUCAACCCGCGGACGGCACAUGAUACUGCGAGACUAGAGUAAUGGAGGGGGAACCGGAAGUCGCGGUGUAGCAGUGAAAUGCGUAGAUAUCGAGAGGAACACUCGUGGCGAAGGCGGGUUCCUGGACAUUAACGGACGCUGAGGCACGAAGGCCAGGGGAGCGAAAGGGAGUAGAUACCCUGGUAGUC
RNAcentral lists this ribosomal RNA (446 nucleotides) under uncultured bacterium. RNAcentral describes it as "partial 16S ribosomal RNA". It matches the Rfam family "Bacterial small subunit ribosomal RNA", at positions 338 to 795 of the family's 1533-position model. The record is from RNAcentral.